Molecule: long non-coding RNA, 886 nt
Filed under: Vigna radiata
Lineage: Eukaryota; Viridiplantae; Streptophyta; Magnoliopsida; Fabales; Fabaceae
Description: long non-coding RNA (VRAD_LNC001204)
Source: RNAcentral
UCUAUAAAUGCAUCCAGUUAUAAUAUCAUUUCAAAAAACUAAUUUCCACAUGCCUUGAUUCACUAGUAGCACUCAAAAUAACGCAAACCUAAAAAAAAAUACUAUUGUACUCAAAACAUAUAACUAUUAACUUCUAAAAUCUUACUUUGUAGACUCCCUUAUGAAUUCAACACCUAUUACAUUCCCAGAAUUACUUUGCAAACCUACUUCAUGCACUCAACCCCUCAAAGAUACAAGAUAUAAACUCCUUGCAAGAUUUCCUCUCUUCAUUUUCUUCAUCCAUCAACUAUAAUGAAAACUUCUAAUUCCUUUCUCUGUUUCUUCUUUCUUCUCUUCCUUAUAUAAUUUAAAGCUAAGUUCUUCUCACAAUAUGGUUUCAAACCUAAUAAAUUAUUUCUCUUUCAUUUCAUAUUUAUUCUUACAACCUGCCUUUCCCACGCUCACCAUUGCAUUUUUACAUGAGUUACUAACCCUAUACCCCAUUUGAUCCUUGCCCAGCAGGAUUUCACUUCAUUUUGUAAUAAUUAGUGCAACCAUGAUAACCCACCCCAAACUGAAUUCUUAAGUCUCCUUCCACUUCAACCCCAACAACACAUUUACGUUUAUCUUAGAAAACACCAUACACCAUGUACCCCAUACAUCCAUUUAGUAAUGAAAAUUGAGAAUGGAACACAAAACCCCCUGGCCUCCAUUCAAUUCAUACAAUAUACAUCUAUGCAUAUAUUCACUUUACUCAAACUCGCCUGAAAUCAUGACUCUCACGCUUACUAAACACAAACAGGUUCUAUUUUCUUCUUCGCAUGUAGUAUAAUAUUGAAAUAUAUGAAACAAUUUUCUCAUGUGAUACACCCAACCCAUUCCUAAUUUAACUACACAACAUUUAUAA